This 85-nucleotide transfer RNA is filed under the name Kushneria avicenniae. RNAcentral describes it as "tRNA-Leu". It matches the Rfam family "tRNA". From Rfam's summary of the family: Transfer RNA (tRNA) molecules are approximately 80 nucleotides in length. Their secondary structure includes four short double-helical elements and three loops (D, anti-codon, and T loops). Further hydrogen bonds mediate the characteristic L-shaped molecular structure. tRNAs have two regions of fundamental functional importance: the anti-codon, which is responsible for specific mRNA codon recognition, and the 3' end, to which the tRNAs corresponding amino acid is attached (by aminoacyl-tRNA synthetases). tRNAs cope with the degeneracy of the genetic code in two manners: having more than one tRNA (with a specific anti-codon) for a particular amino acid; and 'wobble' base-pairing, i.e. permitting non-standard base-pairing at the 3rd anti-codon position. RNAcentral also lists the same sequence under 9 other names. Lineage: Bacteria; Pseudomonadati; Pseudomonadota; Gammaproteobacteria; Oceanospirillales; Halomonadaceae. The record is from RNAcentral.
GCGGGAGUGGUGGAAUUGGUAGACACGCUGGAUUUAGGUUCCAGUGCCGCAAGGCGUGAGAGUUCGAGUCUCUCCUUCCGCACCA